UUGGUGAGCUUCUGCUCCCUACAGGAUUCCUAGGCAUCAUCCAGAGGUAAAUCUGACUUGGAAGAGAAGAACGAAAAGAAGGAAAGAAAAAAAAACAGGAGAAAUGGUAGCUCUAUGUCAGUCAUAGUCACAGCUGUUACUAGGGGAAAGAGGCAAAUUUAGAGAACUAAACUCUUACCCUCAUGAAUUUUGAUUAGAAUUGCCUUUGGGCCAAAUUUUCUCAUUAGAUGCUAAUAAAUGUUUUCCAUCAUGUGCAAGGAAGGUUUUACAAAAAUUCCAUUUCCCAGAACUCUGUGAAUGAAAUGGAAACCCCCUUUUCUGGUUGUGGAAAAAAAACAAAGACAAAAAGUUCCUAGCUCAGAGUUUCUUGAGUCCCCUCUGGUUUGGCUAGGUGGCGCCCUAGCCUAAUGCAUGGGCUUCCUUGGCGCCGGGCGGCCGCUUUCUGUGGGGGGUAAGAGUGAAGAGAAGGAAGAAGACUUCAGCUUCUGCGGUUCUCCCCAGGAGUUAGUCAGGAUCCUCAGAUCGACUGACAGGAGGUGAAACUAAUUCUGAUUUACACUAUCAUCUUCCUGCUUCUACACCUUUUGCCAAGAUAAAACCCAUGACUCCCUAGAAAGUGAGGAAGAUUGUCCCUGAGCUGACUUCCGUGCCAAUCUUCCUUUCUUUUGUAUGUAGGAUGCCAUCACAGCAUGGCUUGAUGUGCAGUGUGUAGGUCUGCGCCCAGGAUCUGAACCUGCAAACCACAAAAAAGCACCAAAGCAGAGCAUGCAAACUUAACUUCUAUGUCACCGGACCAGCCCCAGGAAUGAUCAAUUUUUGACCCUAAGGAAUGUUGGAAUGAAGCCCUGCAAGGAAGUAGAGGUCUGCACAGAGUUCAAAAUUGAAGCUUGAACCAAUCAAAGUUUAUAGCACCAUAAAAUAUUUAGACCUUUUUGUGUGACAUGUAUACAGGGGAGACUGUGCAUUUUAAAUAUUUAUAGCUGAUAAAUAUUUUUCUUUAUAUGACAAUACUUGACACAUAGCAGCUUGCAGGAGAAAAAUGCAUGAAUUCAGCAUUCAGGUGAAUUAAUUUCACAUCCUGUCCUAAGGUCAAACUGUGGUGCUGGCUCAAUGGCCAAAAGUUGGCAGGCCAAUUGCCAAAACAAUCAAUUGGAUCAUGGUGCAAUCCAAUUCUCUCAUUAAGACAACUGAAACAAUAACAACUAAAUCAAAUUGACUCUAUGGAAAUCUAAUCAAUUGUUCCACAAUCAGAUAUAACAGCUCUCCAAUCAAAUUAAUUUAAUUUUAUUUGGUUUAGUUAAGUGACAUGGCACAAGCUUCAUGGGUUCCUGUUCUUUCCUCAUACAUAGCAUGACACAGUAUUAGCAUUUGGAGGGACCCCAGAGACAGCUGGUUCUGUGCUUCUCCCGUGGGAGAAAAGUGUAGGCAGUACACAAAGUCACUGGAUAAAUGUGGUGUGUCUCUCUAGAGUGCCGAGUGUAUCUUCCAGUUGGGAAGAGGACUCAUUUACAUAUUUAGACAAGUACAGAUGUAUCACGGAAUAUGUGUUAGUCAGGAUAGAUUAGAUUAUGGUUUGAUAAAAGAUAUUUCCAAUCUCAGUGAUUUAAAACAGCAAUGCUUAUUUUUCAUUCAUAUGGCAUGUCCAUGAGGGUCGCUGCGGCCUGUGUUCCGUGUUGUCCCCAUUCCAGGAUCCAGACUGAUGAAGUAGAAUCUCCGUAGAAGUUUGCCUCUUGUCUUAGGGGAGGCAAAGACAGCGAGAGUAAUUCAGGGACUAGAUCUUAAUGCACCCACCUGGAAGUGGCACAUGUGUUUUCCACACACACUUCACUGGCCAAAGCAUGUUAUAUAGGCCCACCUAUCAUCAAAGAGGGGCAGAGAAGUACAAUCCUACUAUGUGCCCAGAAGAAUUAGAAAUAUUUUGUGACUAGUAUUAACAUUCACCACAAAAUGAGGUGCAAAGUUCAUGUAAACUUUAAGAUGAGACACAAAACUUCGAAGAAAUUUCUUACAACCCUUGUGUACCCACCAAAAUGGUGACUAAAUGGAGGAAUCCCAGAAAAU
Equus asinus (donkey) is the source of this 2061-nucleotide long non-coding RNA. NCBI's taxonomy places the organism in Eukaryota, Metazoa, Chordata, Mammalia, Perissodactyla, Equidae. The record is from Ensembl.